GGUUAAGCGACUAAGCGUACACGGUGGAUGCCCUGGCAGUCAGAGGCGAUGAAGGACGUGCUAAUCUGCGAAAAGCGUCGGUAAGGUGAUAUGAACCGUUAUAACCGGCGAUGUCCGAAUGGGGAAACCCAGUGCAAUUCGUUGCACUAUCGUUAACUGAAUACAUAGGUUAACGAGGCGAACCGGGGGAACUGAAACAUCUAAGUACCCCGAGGAAAAGAAAUCAACCGAGAUUCCCCCAGUAGCGGCGAGCGAACGGGGAGCAGCCCAGAGUCUGAAUCAGCUUGUGUGUUAGUGGAACGGUCUGGAAAGUCCGACGGUACAGGGUGAUAGUCCCGUACACCAAAAUGCACAGGCUGUGAACUCGAAGAGUAGGGCGGGACACGUGGUAUCCUGUCUGAAUAUGGGGGGACCAUCCUCCAAGGCUAAAUACUCCUGACUGACCGAUAGUGAACCAGUACCGUGAGGGAAAGGCGAAAAGAACCCCGGCGAGGGGAGUGAAAAAGAACCUGAAACCGUGUACGUACAAGCAGUGGGAGCACCUUCGGGUGUGACUGCGUACCUUUUGUAUAAUGGGUCAGCGACUUAUAUUCUGUAGCAAGGUUAACCGUAUAGGGGAGCCGCAGGGAAACCGAGUCUUAACUGGGCGUUAAGUUGCAGGGUAUAGACCCGAAACCCGGUGAUCUAGCCAUGGGCAGGUUGAAGGUUGGGUAACACUAACUGGAGGACCGAACCGACUAAUGUUGAAAAAUUAGCGGAUGACUUGUGGCUGGGGGUGAAAGGCCAAUCAAACCGGGAGAUAGCUGGUUCUCCCCGAAAGCUAUUUAGGUAGCGCCUCGUGAACUCAUCUUCGGGGGUAGAGCACUGUUUCGGCUAGGGGGUCAUCCCGACUUACCAACCCGAUGCAAACUACGAAUACCGAAGAAUGUUAUCACGGGAGACACACGGCGGGUGCUAACGUCCGUCGUGAAGAGGGAAACAACCCAGACCGCCAGCUAAGGUCCCAAAGUCAUGGUUAAGUGGGAAACGAUGUGGGAAGGCACAGACAGCCAGGAUGUUGGCUUAGAAGCAGCCAUCAUUUAAAGAAAGCGUAAUAGCUCACUGGUCGAGUCGGCCUGCGCGGAAGAUGUAACGGGGCUAAACCAUGCACCGAAGCUGCGGCAGCGACACUAUGUGUUGUUGGGUAGGGGAGCGUUCUGUAAGCCUGCGAAGGUGACCUGUGAGGGUUGCUGGAGGUAUCAGAAGUGCGAAUGCUGACAUAAGUAACGAUAAAGCGGGUGAAAAGCCCGCUCGCCGGAAGACCAAGGGUUCCUGUCCAACGUUAAUCGGGGCAGGGUGAGUCGACCCCUAAGGCGAGGCCGAAAGGCGUAGUCGAUGGGAAACAGGUUAAUAUUCCUGUACUUGGUGUUACUGCGAAGGGGGGACGGAGAAGGCUAUGUUAGCCGGGCGACGGUUGUCCCGGUUUAAGCAUGUAGGCUGAUUGUCCAGGCAAAUCCGGAUAAUCAAGGCUGAGGUGUGAUGACGAGGUACUACGGUGCUGAAGUAACAAAUGCCCUGCUUCCAGGAAAAGCCUCUAAGCAUCAGGUAACAUCAAAUCGUACCCCAAACCGACACAGGUGGUCAGGUAGAGAAUACCAAGGCGCUUGAGAGAACUCGGGUGAAGGAACUAGGCAAAAUGGUGCCGUAACUUCGGGAGAAGGCACGCUGGUGUGUAGGUGAAGCCCCUGCGGGUGGAGCUGAGACCAGUCGAAGAUACCAGCUGGCUGCAACUGUUUAUUAAAAACACAGCACUGUGCAAACACGAAAGUGGACGUAUACGGUGUGACGCCUGCCCGGUGCCGGAAGGUUAAUUGAUGGGGUUAUCCGUAAGGAGAAGCUCUUGAUCGAAGCCCCGGUAAACGGCGGCCGUAACUAUAACGGUCCUAAGGUAGCGAAAUUCCUUGUCGGGUAAGUUCCGACCUGCACGAAUGGCGUAAUGAUGGCCAGGCUGUCUCCACCCGAGACUCAGUGAAAUUGAACUCGCUGUGAAGAUGCAGUGUACCCGCGGCAAGACGGAAAGACCCCGUGAACCUUUACUAUAGCUUGACACUGAACAUUGAGCCUUGAUGUGUAGGAUAGGUGGGAGGCUUUGAAGCGUGGACGCCAGUCUGCGUGGAGCCAACCUUGAAAUACCACCCUUUAAUGUUUGAUGUUCUAACGUUGGCCCCUGACCGGGGUUGCGGACAGUGUCUGGUGGGUAGUUUGACUGGGGCGGUCUCCUCCCAAAGCGUAACGGAGGAGCACGAAGGUUAGCUAAUCCUGGUCGGACAUCAGGAGGUUAGUGCAAUGGCAUAAGCUAGCUUGACUGCGAGCGUGACGGCGCGAGCAGGUGCGAAAGCAGGUCAUAGUGAUCCGGUGGUUCUGAAUGGAAGGGCCAUCGCUCAACGGAUAAAAGGUACUCCGGGGAUAACAGGCUGAUACCGCCCAAGAGUUCAUAUCGACGGCGGUGUUUGGCACCUCGAUGUCGGCUCAUCACAUCCUGGGGCUGAAGUAGGUCCCAAGGGUAUGGCUGUUCGCCAUUUAAAGUGGUACGCGAGCUGGGUUUAGAACGUCGUGAGACAGUUCGGUCCCUAUCUGCCGUGGGCGCUGGAGAAUUGAGGGGGGCUGCUCCUAGUACGAGAGGACCGGAGUGGACGCAUCACUGGUGUUCGGGUUGUCAUGCCAAUGGCACUGCCCGGUAGCUAAAUGCGGAAGAGAUAAGUGCUGAAAGCAUCUAAGCACGAAACUUGCCCCGAGAUGAGUUCUCCCUGAGACUUUAAGUCUCCUGAAGGAACGUUAAAGACGAUGACGUUGAUAGGCCGGGUGUGUAAGCGCAGCGAUGCGUUGAGCUAACCGGUACUAAUGAACCGUGAGGCUUAACCUU
Molecule: ribosomal RNA, 2902 nt
Filed under: Klebsiella pneumoniae
Lineage: Bacteria; Pseudomonadati; Pseudomonadota; Gammaproteobacteria; Enterobacterales; Enterobacteriaceae
Description: 23S ribosomal RNA
Rfam family: Bacterial large subunit ribosomal RNA
Source: RNAcentral